UCGGGAAUUUUGGGCAAUGGGCGAAAGCCUGACCCAGCAACGCCGCGUGAGGGAUGAAGUAUUUCGGUAUGUAAACCUCGAAAGAAUGGGAAGAAUAAAUGACGGUACCAUUUAUAAGCUCCGGCUAACUACGUGCCAGCAGCCGCGGUAAUACGUAGGGAGCAAGCGUUGUUCGGAUUUACUGGGCGUAAAGGGCGCGUAGGCGGCGCGGUAAGUCACUUGUGAAAUCUCUGAGCUUAACUCAGAACGGCCAAGUGAUACUGCCGUGCUAGAGUGCGGAAGAGGCUACCGGAAUUCUUGGUGUAGCGGUGAAAUGCGUAGAUAUCAAGAGGAACACCUGAGGCGAAGGCGGGUUGCUGGGCCGACACUGACGCUGAUGCGCGAAAGCCAGGGGAGCAAACG
Molecule: ribosomal RNA, 402 nt
Filed under: uncultured bacterium
Lineage: Bacteria
Description: bacterial SSU rRNA
Rfam family: Bacterial small subunit ribosomal RNA
Source: RNAcentral